GAGUAAUAUAUCGGAACGUACCCAAGAGUGGGGGAUAACGUAGCGAAAGUUACGCUAAUACCGCAUACGAUCUAAGGAUGAAAGCAGGGGAUCUUCGGACCUUGUGCUCCUGGAGCGGCCGAUAUCUGAUUAGCUAGUUGGUGAGGUAAAGGCUCACCAAGGCUACGAUCAGUAGCUGGUCUGAGAGGACGACCAGCCACACUGGAACUGAGACACGGUCCAGACUCCUACGGGAGGCAGCAGUGGGGAAUUUUGGACAAUGGGCGAAAGCCUGAUCCAGCAAUGCCGCGUGAGUGAAGAAGGCCUUCGGGUUGUAAAGCUCUUUUGUCAGGGAAGAAACGGUGAGGGCUAAUAUCCUUCGCUAAUGACGGUACCUGAAGAAUAAGCACCGGCUAACUACGUGCCAGCAGCCGCGGUAAUACGUAGGGUGCAAGCGUUAAUCGGAAUUACUGGGCGUAAAGCGUGCGCAGGCGGUUUUGUAAGUCUGACGUGAAAUCCCCGGGCUCAACCUGGGAAUUGCGUUGGAGACUGCAAGGCUAGAAUCUGGCAGAGGGGGGUAGAAUUCCACGUGUAGCAGUGAAAUGCGUAGAGAUGUGGAGGAACACCGAUGGCGAAGGCAGCCCCCUGGGUCAAGAUUGACGCUCAUGCACGAAAGCGUGGGGAGCAAACAGGAUUAGAUACCCUGGUAGUCCACGCCCUAAACGAUGUCUACUAGUUGUCGGGUUUUAAUUAACUUGGUAACGCAGCUAACGCGUGAAGUAGACCGCCUGGGGAGUACGGUCGCAAGAUUAAAACUCAAAGGAAUUGACGGGGACCCGCACAAGCGG
Molecule: ribosomal RNA, 827 nt
Filed under: Massilia aurea
Lineage: Bacteria; Pseudomonadati; Pseudomonadota; Betaproteobacteria; Burkholderiales; Oxalobacteraceae
Description: bacterial SSU rRNA
Rfam family: Bacterial small subunit ribosomal RNA
Source: RNAcentral